RNAcentral lists this ribosomal RNA (301 nucleotides) under uncultured bacterium. RNAcentral's name for it is "partial 16S ribosomal RNA". It matches the Rfam family "Bacterial small subunit ribosomal RNA", at positions 509 to 807 of the family's 1533-position model. The record is from RNAcentral.
CAGUCGCCGCGGUAAUACGAAGGGUGCAAGCGUUAAUCGGAAUUACUGGGCGUAAAGCGUGCGUAGGCGGUUUGUUAAGUCUGCUGUGAAAUCCCCGGGCUCAACCUGGGAAUGGCAGUGGAUACUGGCAAGCUAGAGUGUGUCAGAGGAUGGUGGAAUUCCCGGUGUAGCGGUGAAAUGCGUAGAUAUGCGGAGGAACACCGAUGGCGAAGGCAGCCCCCUGGGCCAACACUGACGCUCAUGCACGAAAGCGUGGGGAGCAAACAGGAUUAGAUACCCGUGUAGUCCCUGUCUCUUAUAC